UGGGAAUAUUGGCAAUGGGCGCAAGCCUGACCCAGCAACGCCGCGUGAAGGAUGAAGGUUUUCGGAUUGUAAACUUCUUUUGUCGGGGAAGAUAAUGACGGUACCCUUGGAGGAAGCCCCGGCUAACUACGUGCCAGCAGCCGCGGUAAUACGUAGGGGGCAAGCGUUAUCCGGAAUUAUUGGGCGUAAAGAGUGCGUAGGUGGUUACCUAAGCAGGGGGUGAAAGGCUAUGGCUUAACCAUAGUUAGCCCCCCUGAACUGGGCUACUUGAGUGCAGGAGAGGAAAGCGGAAUUCCUAGUGUAGCGGUGAAAUGCGUAGAUAUUAGGAGGAACACCCAGUGGCGAAGGCGGCUUUCUGGACUGUUACUGACACUGAGGCACG
Molecule: ribosomal RNA, 382 nt
Filed under: uncultured bacterium
Lineage: Bacteria
Description: bacterial SSU rRNA
Rfam family: Bacterial small subunit ribosomal RNA
Source: RNAcentral